Molecule: ribosomal RNA, 252 nt
Filed under: uncultured bacterium
Lineage: Bacteria
Description: partial 16S ribosomal RNA
Rfam family: Bacterial small subunit ribosomal RNA
Source: RNAcentral
UACGUAGGGUGCGAGCGUUGUCCGGAUUUAUUGGGCGUAAAGAGCGUGUAGGCGGCCAUACAGGUCAGCUGUGAAAACUCGAGGCUCAACCUCGAGACGUCGGUUGAAACCGUUUGGCUAGAGUCCGGAAGAGGAGAGUGGAAUUCCCGGUGUAGCGGUGAAAUGCGCAGAUAUCGGGAAGAACACCCGUGGCGAAGGCGGCUCUCUGGGACGGUACUGACGCUGAGACGCGAAAGCGUGGGAGCGAACAGG